This 1007-nucleotide ribosomal RNA is filed under the name Staphylococcus pseudintermedius. RNAcentral describes it as "partial 23S ribosomal RNA". It matches the Rfam family "Bacterial large subunit ribosomal RNA", at positions 1239 to 2244 of the family's 2925-position model. The record is from RNAcentral. Lineage: Bacteria; Bacillati; Bacillota; Bacilli; Caryophanales; Staphylococcaceae.
UUCUAAGGGCGUUGAAGCAUGAUCGCAAGGACAUGUGGAGCGCUUAGAAGUGAGAAUGCCGGUGUGAGUAGCGAAAGACGGGUGAGAAUCCCGUCCACCGAUUGACUAAGGUUUCCAGAGGAAGGCUCGUCCGCUCUGGGUUAGUCGGGUCCUAAGCUGAGGCCGACAGGCGUAGGCGAUGGAUAACAGGUUGAUAUUCCUGUACCACCAUUAUUCGUUUUAAGCGAUGGGGGGACGCAGUAGGAUAGGCGAAGCGUGCUGUUGGAGUGCACGUCCAAGCAGUGAGAUUGAGUGUUAGGCAAAUCCGGCACUCUUAAGAUUGAGCUGUGAUGGGGAGAGGAACUUGUUCCUCGAGUCGUUGAUUUCACACUGCCGAGAAAAGCCUCUAGCUAGAAUAACGGUGCCCGUACCGCAAACCGACACAGGUAGUCAAGAUGAGAAUUCUAAGGUGAGCGAGCGAACUCUCGUUAAGGAACUCGGCAAAAUGACCCCGUAACUUCGGGAGAAGGGGUGCUCUUUGAGGUUCACGCUUCGAAGAGCCGCAGUGAAUAGGCCCAAGCGACUGUUUAUCAAAAACACAGGUCUCUGCUAAACCGUAAGGUGACGUAUAGGGGCUGACGCCUGCCCGGUGCUGGAAGGUUAAGAGGAGUGGUUAGCGCAAGCGAAGCUACGAAUCGAAGCCCCAGUAAACGGCGGCCGUAACUAUAACGGUCCUAAGGUAGCGAAAUUCCUUGUCGGGUAAGUUCCGACCCGCACGAAAGGCGUAACGAUUUGGGCACUGUCUCAACGAGAGACUCGGUGAAAUCAUAGUACCGGUGAAGAUGCCGGUUACCCGCGACAGGACGGAAAGACCCCGUGGAGCUUUACUGUAGCCUGAUAUUGAAAUUCGGUACAGUUUGUACAGGAUAGGUAGGAGCCUUAGAAGCGUGAGCGCUAGCUUACGUGGAGGCAUUGGUGGGAUACUACCCUAAUUGUAUUGGAUUUCUAACCCGCAGCACUUAUCGUGC